Molecule: ribosomal RNA, 474 nt
Filed under: Selenomonas sp. oral taxon E20
Lineage: Bacteria; Bacillati; Bacillota; Negativicutes; Selenomonadales; Selenomonadaceae
Description: bacterial SSU rRNA
Rfam family: Bacterial small subunit ribosomal RNA
Source: RNAcentral
GACGAAGCUGGCGGGCGUGCUUAACACAUGCAAGUCGAACGGAGCGAAUGAAAGCUUGCUUUUAUGAGCUUAGUGGCAAACGGGUGAGUAACACGUAGACAACCCUGCCGAUAGGAUGGGGACAACAUUCCGAAAGGAAUGCUAAUACCGAAUGGCGUGGAGGGAAGGCAUCUUCCUUUCAUGAAAGAUGGCCUCUAUAUAUAAGCUAUCACCUAUCGAUGGUCUGCGUCUGAUUAGCUAGUAGGUAAGGUAACGGCUUACCUAGGCGACGAUCAGUAGCCGGUCUGAGAGGAUGAACGGCCACAUUGGGACUGAGACACGGCCCAGACUCCUACGGGAGGCAGCAGUGGGGAAUCUUCCGCAAUGGGCGCAAGCUGACGGAGCAACGCCGCGUGAGUGAAGAAGGUCUUCGGAUCGUAAAGCUCUGUUGAAGGGGACGAACGUAUAUAGUGCGAAUAGUACUGUGUAAUGACG